AGAACAUAUCUAUGAGUGAUUUCUGAUAGGGAAACAUGUUGACCUUGUCCCAAAUACCUAGUGCUUUCAAAAAAUAGUAACAUGUCUAACAGUCUAUACAAAUUCUUCUCUCUUGUCAGGUAGAAGUGAGAGCAAGAGUCGUAACAGCAAACACCCUUCUGACCUCUGAAAUGCUUCAAACUUUAGAUUACAAAGAUUUUGUUGUCACGGACCGGGACACAGCUGGGGGUGUUGGAAACCACACCCACUUCUGCCUGAGGGAAAGACAGGAUAGUAGCUAGGUGACCACUAGAUACCCUCUCUCAGAGUUGAAGGGUCCUUAAGCCUGAGAGGUCAUUAUUGUCAUCAUCUGUGCCCUGUAAUGAGGUGUUAGUAGGGGUGAUAUGUAUUUCUUCUGGACUGGGAAUUUAACUGCUGGUUUAUGUUCUUCCAGAGCUCCCUCUUUGCCCACUAGCAGGGCAUUAGCUGGUGCUGAAGACAGUGGCUGCUUGGCGAGCCUGGAUCUCCAAGUGACCCCCUCAGCAACUCCUGAUGAACAGGACUGAAGCCAAUAUUAAAGCAAGUCAACCAAAGGUUCUCUGGUGUAGACAAGACAGCAAAAGGACAGACUACCUUGUGGAACCUAGCAUUGUUCUCCUUCUGCAGCACUAAGUAACAUUUGUUCUCCGUUAAGAUCUUUGCAAACCACACACAAGAAUUGCUGGUCAUCCUGCCAAUAGAUGCUGCUCACAGAACCAAAUUUCCUGUGCUGAAUUGUCACUCAUGGGCUUGAGAGUAGGAGACUGGAGACCAAGGUGGCUAGAAUCCAGUUGGGCCUGAUGUCUCCCUGUUGAAAGGGCUCCUUGUGGAAUGAAUAGCACAUGGCUCCUGUGGUGGAUCUGAUAGUGGCAUAGCACCAAGUGAUGCAGGCCUGCCAGGGGCCACAGACACAGAAGAUGCUCCCGGGGUCCCCCAUGUACUCCAGACACACUGCAGGCCACCUCUCCCAGCAGGUUGCCAGUCAUGGGCCCCAUCAUCAUGACUUCUGUCCAAGGUACUGUGUGCAGAAAUGUGAUUGAGAUUCAAGUCAGGGCCUCUCUGCCCUUUUCCCUCCAGAAACAAAACCAAGAUAAUUUAUCCUGAACACGGUGAAAAAAGGAAGGGAGGGAGGAGAAAAAGUCCGGGUCUCACCUGGGAUUCUCUGUCUCCUGCAACAUGAAGGAUUUAGCCUGGGAGGAGGUGGUGAGAACUCUGGGAGAGAAAAAAGAAGGAAAGAAUAGUUUUACCCAUGCUGAAGUUAAUUUAAACCUUCACCUAGAGAAGCAAAAAAAAAAAACCCACACUUUCCCAUUUUGUGCCUCCCUUCCUAGAGUUUUAGCCAAAGGUUUAGCUAAGUAAUUGGUUUUACCAGCGCACUCACUCCUCCUAUCCCAAGUCUGUUUGACUCCCUCCCCAUCAUCCUCCUCACCUCUUUUCAGGCAGGGUGGGGAUAGCAGCAGGAGGAGAUUUUGGGAGCCUGGCAACUCCUGCAAGGACCGCAGGACAGCCCCUCUGUGGGGAUGCGUGGUGCCCCAUCUGCCGCCCUUCUGAAGAAUGCACUGCCUUCACUUUUUACUGUGUUAGAGUCCAUCCAGACUGUUCUAUCCAAAAAAGUUUCUUUUUCCCCCACAGGCAAUCAGGAAAUGAUUCCUUUCCCGACUGCUUCUGUCUAGUGCCUGGGAAUCUUGAGUCAAUCCCUCAGUAAGUCAGUGACUAGGGAAAUCCCUCUCUGAGCCUCCCAGUUCAUGUUGCUUAGGGAACCUGAUAUUUUCGUGAAACCUGCCUACACAUGGGCAGCCCAACAGCAGAACAAAUGGUGGUGACCAAAGUGAACAAAGAAGUAUAGUUGUGCCAGCUUCGUAGUUGCCCAUGUGGACAAGUCAGCAGGAUCAGGACACGAGGAAGAGUAAAUGUGAGACAGUCAAUGUGACUUCUGCGAUAAACAGAUUUUUAAACCCCGAAAUUUUGCAAAAUUUUGGUGAAACCUGAACUUUCUUCGUUGCAUAUACUGGCACUAUCUGUACCAUCAUACAACUGUCUCACAUUAAAGCUAUUUUUCUUGGGC
Molecule: long non-coding RNA, 2083 nt
Filed under: Homo sapiens (human)
Lineage: Eukaryota; Metazoa; Chordata; Mammalia; Primates; Hominidae
Description: non-protein coding lnc-TRIM26-2:27
Source: RNAcentral